GUAUAAGAGACAGCAGUAGCCGCGGGAAUACGAAGGGUGCAAGCGUUACUCGGAAUUACUGGGCGUAAAGCGUGCGUAGGUGGUGGUUUAAGUCCGUUGUGAAAGCCCUGGGCUCAACCUGGGAAUUGCAGUGGAUACUGGGUCACUAGAGUGUGGUAGAGGAUAGUGGAAUUUCCGGUGUAGCAGUGAAAUGCGUAGAGAUCGGAAGGAACAUCUGUGGCGAAGGCGACUAUCUGGGCCAACACUGACACUGAGGCACGAAAGCGUGGGGAGCAAACAGGAUUAGAUACCCGGGUAGUCCCUGUCUCUUAUAC
RNAcentral lists this ribosomal RNA (314 nucleotides) under uncultured bacterium. RNAcentral describes it as "partial 16S ribosomal RNA". It matches the Rfam family "Bacterial small subunit ribosomal RNA", at positions 495 to 807 of the family's 1533-position model. The record is from RNAcentral.